GGCGUACAAGUCACGUGAAGGUGCAGGCGCCGUCAGUAGCGGCGAGCCCCUUCAGCGGCUCCCGGCGCAGGGCAAGGACGCUGCGGUGCGUAUGGGCUGGCGGGGCGGCACCGCUCCCGGCGUGCUCUGCGCGAGGUUCCCCCUCCUCCAGCUCCGUGGCGUGAAGCAUACUGGGAGUCGUAGUCAGCGGGGUGGAGGCGUCCUUGUGGCCCUCUGCGCUCGAGGGGCUGCUCCAACGGUUCUAACAGCUCUAGCUGCUCUCGCUUGCCGGGUGCUCGUCUUGUGGCACCGCAGGGUCCCGGCUCGCUCGCUGUGGGAGGGCGCAGGGGGUGACGGGAGCCAGCAGCAGUACCUGCCGUCCACAGGGAGUCCUGGGAGCUCACCUCCCUGCCCUGAGGGAGCACAGGGGUGGUGUUAAGCAGUACUCACCUGCGUCCCUGCCCUGGAGCCUCCUUUUGCUUGUCCUUCACGCAGGACUUCCAUCACCCUUUACUGGUAUUUUUCUUCAUUGUCUCCCUCACCAAAACAUUCCACACAUUUCGGAUAUGAAUUGAAUGCAGGGGAAGGGGAAGAGAAGAUGGUAUCACUUGCACGUUGCCUGUGACCUGAAUUGCAUGGCAGAGCAACUUAAUCUUAAGUGGCUAUAGAUGGAGUUCAAGGUGACUAUGCUAAUUUUAGGCAUCUCAGUAAAUACCCCAAGCAACUGAUGCUCUUCCAAAGCAGCCAACAUCCUCCAUGACAAAGCUGUAUCAUCAUUUCACAGUCUAAUGUUUUUUCACCACUAACUAAUAUAAUGUCACAGUAUGAUAGCACAUACACUGCAAAGAUACAUUUUUUCCCAGUUCUGUGCUUGUGGUCAAACAUUGCUGAAGAAUGUAGAGGCUUUUUUUCCCCCAUCUUAACGCCACCAAACUAAAGACAGAACCAGGUGGGAAAGCAAUAAAAACAGACAUAUUCGCUUCAAAAAAUGAAGAUGUAGCUAUUGUGUACCAUGCAACAUAAAUGUGCCAACAAGACAAGAAGUGGAGAUACAGGAUGCAAAAUAAAAUUCAAUGACAAGUGCA
Dromaius novaehollandiae (emu) is the source of this 1064-nucleotide long non-coding RNA. RefSeq lists it as uncharacterized. The transcript is spliced from 4 exons. The record is from RefSeq and is a predicted model, not a curated record. Lineage: Eukaryota; Metazoa; Chordata; Aves; Casuariiformes; Dromaiidae.